RNAcentral lists this ribosomal RNA (283 nucleotides) under unidentified marine bacterioplankton. RNAcentral describes it as "partial 16S ribosomal RNA". It matches the Rfam family "Bacterial small subunit ribosomal RNA", at positions 29 to 339 of the family's 1533-position model. The record is from RNAcentral. RNAcentral also lists the same sequence under 1 other name.
AACGAACGCUGGCGGCAGGCCUAACACAUGCAAGUCGAGCGGACCUUUCGGGGUCAGCGGCGGACGGGUGAGUAACGCGUGGGAAUGUGCCCUUUGCUACGGAAUAGUCCUGGGAAACUGGGGGUAAUACCGUAUGUGCCCUUCGGGGGAAAGAUUUAUCGGCAAAGGAUCAGCCCGCGUUGGAUUAGGUAGUUGGUGGGGUAAUGGCCUACCAAGCCUACGAUCCAUAGCUGGUUUGAGAGGAUGAUCAGCCACACUGGGACUGAGACACGGCCCAGACUCC